This 476-nucleotide ribosomal RNA is filed under the name uncultured bacterium. RNAcentral's name for it is "bacterial SSU rRNA". It matches the Rfam family "Bacterial small subunit ribosomal RNA", at positions 335 to 799 of the family's 1533-position model. The record is from RNAcentral.
ACUCCUACGGGAGGCAGCAGUGGGGAAUUUUGGACAAUGGGCGCAAGCCUGAUCCAGCCAUGCCGCGUGCAGGAUGAAGGCCUUCGGGUUGUAAACUGUCUUUUGUACGGAACGAAACGGCUCUUUCUAAUAAAGAGGGCUAAUGACGGUACCGUAAGAAUAAGCACCGGCUAACUACGUGCCAGCAGCCGCGGUAAUACGUAGGGUGCGAGCGUUAAUCGGAAUUACUGGGCGUAAAGCGUGCGCAGGCGGUGAUGUAAGACAGAUGUGAAACUCCCCCGGGCUCAACCUGGGAACUGCAUUUGUGACUGCAUCGCUGGAGUGCGGCAGAGGGGGAUGGAAUUCCGCGUGUAGCAGUGAAAUGCGUAGAUAUGCGGAGGAACACCGAUGGCGAAGGCAAUCCCCUGGGCCUGCACUGACGCUCAUGCACGAAAGCGUGGGAGCAAACAGGAUUAGAUACCCCUGGUAGGAUAGCG